RNAcentral lists this ribosomal RNA (328 nucleotides) under uncultured eukaryote. RNAcentral's name for it is "partial 18S ribosomal RNA". It matches the Rfam family "Eukaryotic small subunit ribosomal RNA", at positions 1470 to 1796 of the family's 1831-position model. The record is from RNAcentral.
CCCUUAGAUGUCCUGGGCCGCACGCGCGUUACACUGAUGCAUUCAACGAGCUUAUAACCUUGGCCGAGAGGCCUGGGCAAUCUUGUUAAAGUGCAUCGUGAUAGGGAUAGAUUAUUGAAAUUAUUAAUCUUGAACGAGGAAUUCCUAGUAAACGCAGAUCAUCAAUCUGCAUUGAUUACGUCCCUGCCCUUUGUACACACCGCCCGUCGCACCUACCGAUUGGAUGGUCCGGUGAAGCCUCGGGAUUGUGGUUCUUGCCGCUUUAUUGUGGCGUGACCGCGAGAACUUGUCUAAACCUUAUCAUCUAGAGGAAGGUGAAGUCGUAACA